RNAcentral lists this unclassified non-coding RNA (369 nucleotides) under Hevea brasiliensis (rubber tree). The record is from RNAcentral. Lineage: Eukaryota; Viridiplantae; Streptophyta; Magnoliopsida; Malpighiales; Euphorbiaceae.
GGCCACCUUCUUGAAGAUGAAGCUGAUGAUAUAAUCAGUGUCCAUUGAACUCGUUAGAAACUAUAUAACAAUAAAUCUGAAGAAUCCAUUGAUAGCUGUAAAGAUAUUCAUGAAUGCCACUCAUUCAACUUCGUAUGUGCGAAUACAUAUGCAUGCACACACAGAUAGAAAUCUUCUAAUAAAUAAGCAUAGCUUGAAUAUAUAAAAUGAAAAAGGCUAGCCAUUCUUGCUGUAACAGCACCAUCUAAUUACGGCAGUUAAGGUUGGCAGCUUGAAAAAGAACUUCACUUAGCAGUUGCACAUUGCCAACUAAAAUUUCAAAUGAUAUAAAAUACUCUAACUGAAACUAUGUCAUGGGCUUAAUCUUUA